GACGAACGCUGGCGGCGUGCCUAAUACAUGCGAGUCGAACGAAGCUGUUUUAACUGGUGCUUGCACCGACUUAAACAACUGAGUGGCGAACGGGUGAGUAACACGUGGGUAACCUGCCCCAAAGCGGGGGAUAACAUUUGGAAACAGAUGCUAAUACCGCAUAACCACAGAAACCACAUGGUUUCUGUGUCAAAGAUGGUUUCGGCUAUCACUUUGGGAUGGACCCGCGGCGUAUUAGCUAGUUGGUAAGGUAAUGGCUUACCAAGGCAAUGAUGCGUAGCCGAACUGAGAGGUUGAUCGGCCACAUUGGGACUGAGACACGGCCCAAACGCCUACGGGAGGCAGCAGUAGGGAAUCUUCCACAAUGGACGAAAGUCUGAUGGAGCAACGCCGCGUGAGUGAAGAAGGUUUUCGGAUCGUAAAACUCUGUUGUCAGAGAAGAACGUGUGCGAGAGUAACUGCUCGUGCAGUGACGGUAUCUGGCCAGAAAGCCACGGCUAACUACGUGCCAGCCGCCGCCGUAA
Molecule: ribosomal RNA, 524 nt
Filed under: uncultured bacterium
Lineage: Bacteria
Description: partial 16S ribosomal RNA
Rfam family: Bacterial small subunit ribosomal RNA
Source: RNAcentral